GAUGAACGCUGGCGGCGUGCCUAAUACAUGCGAGUCGAGCGAACAGACGAGGAGCUUGCUCCUCUGACGUUAGCGGCGGACGGGUGAGUAACACGUGGAUAACCUACCUAUAAGACUGGGAUAACUUCGGGAAACCGGAGCUAAUACCGGAUAAUAUAUUGAACCGCAUGGUUCAAUAGUGAAAGACGGUUUUGCUGUCACUUAUAGAUGGAUCCGCGCCGCAUUAGCUAGUUGGUAAGGUAACGGCUUACCAAGGCAACGAUGCGUAGCCGACCUGAGAGGGUGAUCGGCCACACUGGAACUGGGACACGGUCCAGACUCCUACGGGAGGCAGCAGUCGGGAAUCUUCCGCAAUGGGCGAAAGCCUGACGGAGCAACGCCGCGUGAGUGAUGAAGGUCUUCGGAUCGUAAAACUCUGUUAUUAGGGAAGAACAAAUGUGUAAGUAACUAUGCACGUCUUGACGGUACCUAAUCAGAAAGCCACGGCUAACUACGUG
RNAcentral lists this ribosomal RNA (497 nucleotides) under uncultured bacterium. Its description in RNAcentral is "partial 16S ribosomal RNA". It matches the Rfam family "Bacterial small subunit ribosomal RNA", at positions 28 to 507 of the family's 1533-position model. The record is from RNAcentral.